AGAGUUUGAUCCUGGCUCAGAACGAACGCUGGCGGCAGGCUUAACACAUGCAAGUCGAACGAGGUAGCAAUACCUAGUGGCGCACGGGUGAGUAACGCGUGGGAACGUACCUUUUAGUUCGGAAUAACUGCGGGAAACUGCAGCUAAUACCGGAUACGCCCUUUGGGGGAAAGAUUUAUCGCUAAAAGAUCGGCCCGCGUUAGAUUAGGUAGUUGGUGGGGUAAUGGCCUACCAAGCCUUCGAUCUAUAGCUGGUCUGAGAGGAUGAUCAGCCACACUGGAACUGAGACACGGUCCAGACUCCUACGGGAGGCAGCAGUGGGGAAUAUUGGACAAUGGGCGAAAGCCUGAUCCAGCCAUGCCGCGUGAGUGAUGAAGGCCUUAGGGUUGUAAAGCUCUUUUACCAGGGAAGAUAAUGACGGUACCUGGAGAAUAAGCACCGGCUAACUUCGUGCCAGCAGCCGCGGUAAUAA
RNAcentral lists this ribosomal RNA (472 nucleotides) under uncultured bacterium. Its description in RNAcentral is "bacterial SSU rRNA". It matches the Rfam family "Bacterial small subunit ribosomal RNA", at positions 8 to 526 of the family's 1533-position model. The record is from RNAcentral.